Molecule: unclassified non-coding RNA, 213 nt
Filed under: Hevea brasiliensis (rubber tree)
Lineage: Eukaryota; Viridiplantae; Streptophyta; Magnoliopsida; Malpighiales; Euphorbiaceae
Source: RNAcentral
GUUAUGCUGCUUUGGUUUGCCGCAUUCUGGUUUGUAGGAUCUUGGAUAAUUCGAUUCCUAGCUCACACAGCUGGGUUCAGAAAGGAAUCCUUGAUAUACAGUGGUCAAGCACUGUACAGCAUCUAGACUGAUGUGACUGAAGGUCUAGCUGGGAUGAUAAUUCUUCAUUGUUACUCUGCAAGAUUUCAUCCAUUCCUCCUGACUGGUUCAAGU